Molecule: long non-coding RNA, 524 nt
Filed under: Numida meleagris (helmeted guineafowl)
Lineage: Eukaryota; Metazoa; Chordata; Aves; Galliformes; Numididae
Description: lncRNA (ENSNMEG00000008869.1)
Source: RNAcentral
GAAGUGUUUUUACUGGUGAGAGCAAUUCCAGACUCCGGGCUACAUCAGAAAAUCCUUUAACUCAGCUAAUUGACUUAGUGUUUUGGCAAUGUGUUUACUCCCCCCUUCCCCUCUUUUACUGCAUUUUCUAUUUUAAUGCUAUAAAACUCAACUAACUUCUAAAAAAAAUAAAUUCCCUUUUUUUUUCCAGAGUUUCUUAGACUUUCUCCACCUAGUUAAUGACUGGCUGCAGCGAGUCUCUUUUAAUAUGAAAGGAAACACCAUGCUUGCAGCUUGCAAAACAGGAUGACAAGGCUAAAGAUUAAAAAGGGGGAAAAAAAGAAAAACGAAGAAAAAGAAGACAAAGAAGGAUUUGCGGGUGUGCUUUCCUCAAGGUGAAGCUGUUCCAGGAGCACGGGCAAUGCCUCCACAGCGCUCCAGGCGGAGUUGGAACUGGGAAAGAAAAAACCCUACACAUGCCUGUAAAAAAGUACUGGGAGAAGUCAGCGCAGUGCAACGAGGGUUCAUGUGACUGAGACAUUCCA